CCUACGGGAGACCGCAGUGAGGAAUAUUGGUCAAUGGACGAGAGUCUGAACCAGCCAAGUAGCGUGAAGGAUGACUGCCCUAUGGGUUGUAAACUUCUUUUAUAUGGGAAUAAAACGUUGCACGUGUGGGAUUUUGUAUGUACCUUAUGAAUAAGGAUCGGCUAACUCCGUGCCAGCAGCCGCGGUAAUACGGAGGAUCCGAGCGUUAUCCGGAUUUAUUGGGUUUAAAGGGAGCGUAGGUGGAUUGUUAAGUCAGUUGUGAAAGUUUGCGGCUCAACCGUAAAAUUGCAGUUGAAACUGGCAGUCUUGAGUACAGUAGAGGUAGGCGGAAUUCGUGGUGUAGCGGUGAAAUGCUUAGAUAUCACGAAGAACUCCGAUUGCGAAGGCAGUUCACUGAACUGCAACUCACACUGAGGCUCGAAAGUGUGGGUAUCAAACAGGAUUAGAUACCCUUGUAGUC
This 460-nucleotide ribosomal RNA is filed under the name uncultured bacterium. Its description in RNAcentral is "partial 16S ribosomal RNA". It matches the Rfam family "Bacterial small subunit ribosomal RNA", at positions 338 to 795 of the family's 1533-position model. The record is from RNAcentral.